This 67-nucleotide transfer RNA is filed under the name Scolia bicincta. RNAcentral's name for it is "tRNA-Leu". It matches the Rfam family "tRNA". From Rfam's summary of the family: Transfer RNA (tRNA) molecules are approximately 80 nucleotides in length. Their secondary structure includes four short double-helical elements and three loops (D, anti-codon, and T loops). Lineage: Eukaryota; Metazoa; Arthropoda; Insecta; Hymenoptera; Scoliidae. The record is from RNAcentral.
UUUAAUAUGGCAGAUAAGUGCAAUAGAUUUAAGCUCUAUUUAUGAAGAUUUUAUUCUUUUAUUAAAA